UACGUAGGGGGCAAGCGUUAUCCGGUUUUACUGGGUGUAAAGGGAGCGUAGACGGCGAUGCAAGCCAGAUGUGAAAGCCCGGGGCUCAACCCCGGGACUGCAUUUGGAACUGUAUAGCUAGAGUGUCGGAGAGGCAGGCGGAAUUCCUAGUGUAGCGGUGAAAUGCGUAGAUAUUAGGAGGAACACCAGUGGCGAAGGCGGCCUGCUGGACGAUGACUGACGUUGAGGCUCGAAAGCGUGGGGAGCAAACAGG
Molecule: ribosomal RNA, 253 nt
Filed under: uncultured bacterium
Lineage: Bacteria
Description: partial 16S ribosomal RNA
Rfam family: Bacterial small subunit ribosomal RNA
Source: RNAcentral